AGGACCGGAUUGAAACAAUAUUAAAAUAUGCAGUAAAAUUUAAAAGAAAUAAUAAAUUUAAUUUAAACAACCCCAAAAAGAAAAGGACCAAUCGCGCAAAUGGCCCCUUUUGAACCCUUAUAAAAUCCCAUUUCAAAACCCUUUCUCUGCCAUUUUUGUAUUUGCCGCAGCCUCCCUUCCACCAUUUCAGACCCAUUUCUGACCGGCAACAACGACGACGACGGCGCCACGACGGCGCGCUACCACCGUUUGUUGUUUGCUACAGGAAGAACGUGCUGGAGCGCGAGGCAACGUGCGACGUGCAAGGACGACGUGGGGCAAGCAGUCUCGGCUAUCUGCUGCUUAGGGUUUUUGUGACUUUAGGCCACUUGGGCCUUGUAAUUGGGUCAAGCUCGGCCCAAGUUUUAUUGGGUUUAAUUGUAUUUAAUUUGGGCUAUGUUAAUGAUUUUAGGUUGGUCUUAUUUUGAAUGGGCCGGGCAAAAAUGGGCUAUUACAUGCUUAACCCAAAAAUUUAAUAAUAAAAAUAAUUAGAUAGUUUAUAAGAA
Long non-coding RNA from Gossypium raimondii (Peruvian cotton), 545 nucleotides. RefSeq lists it as uncharacterized. Lineage: Eukaryota; Viridiplantae; Streptophyta; Magnoliopsida; Malvales; Malvaceae. The transcript has 2 exons. The record is from RefSeq and is a predicted model, not a curated record.